AUCUCUUCCUUCAAAAUUUCAUUUCAACGAUCUAACCUUCUGUUUCCUUCAUUCUUCUUGCCAUGUAAUGUUGGCCUGAUAUUUUAAUUAUGAGUCAAUUCCAUUUCGCAGCAUACAGUUUCAGUAGUUCUACAUCUCCAGCUUCCAUUAGAAUGGAGAAGAAAUAAUUGAGGCUAAGGCAGCGAAUCAAGAAAUGUGAAGGAGAUGAAGGUACUCUAAGAUCCAAUCAUGCACAGGAGUUGCAAAAAGAUGCUGGAGAUGGAUGUCAACUUUGUUGAUUCAGAUGCUAUGGGGUUAACAUUUGUCAGGGAAAUUGAAGAGUUCGGAUCCAGGAAAACCAUGGCGCUGUGCUUUGGAUGGAACAACAUUGUUGUCAAUAGUAAGAACAAAAGUAUGUACAUCUUAUUCAGCAUUGCUUCGUCAAAUCAAUCUGAGGUUAGGUUGCCUAUUUUGCAAACGGUCUUGCUGAUAUGCUUUGUAAGCCAAGGCUGGUGAAAAGCUUUUUCCAAGCUAUAGACCUGAAAGGUCUUGAUUGUGCUUUACUUGGAGGUGAUAAUCCUAUUCUUUUAAUAGAUUGGAAAGAGCAUGCCGAGUAGGAAGGCUACACAGAAACCUUGACGAAUAGAUUUGCUGGUUCUGGAAGGUUGUAGAGGCUGUCUAUGGAGCAGCAAGAGGGAGCUUCUUUUAUUUUGGACCUCAUUGAAAUGCCUACAAGUAAAUGGUUUUUCUGGCUUGCCUUGUCUUUUGACCAUAUACGAGACACCUGGUUCUGAUGAGCGCCUUUGUCACUUCCACAUUACCAUCGCACAACAUCAUCUCUCUUUUAAGUAUCUGCCAACAACAUGUAGGCUGUAUUUCUGGGCUUGAGGAACUCAUUUCUGGAUCAACAGGACAACUCGCUGUACCCACGACCCAACCUAUAAUAUGUCCAGCAUUUGUAGUUCUGAAAAUUGAAUAUUCAAUCUGAAUGCUUGAAAUAGUAUUUCAUUUUGUAUUGAAAAAUGCAGCUAGCAUUUUGCAUUCAUGGUUCAUUCGAAUUGACAACUGUUCAGGUAAAUUUUGUCACCUUAGAAAUAUUAAAAAAAU
This is a long non-coding RNA of Papaver somniferum (opium poppy), 1086 nucleotides long. RefSeq lists it as uncharacterized. Lineage: Eukaryota; Viridiplantae; Streptophyta; Magnoliopsida; Ranunculales; Papaveraceae. The transcript is spliced from 3 exons. The record is from RefSeq and is a predicted model, not a curated record.